UGGGGAAUUUUGGACCAUGGGGGAAACCCUGAUCCAGCCAUCCCGCGUGUGCGAUGAAGGCCUUCUGGUUGUAAAGCACUUUUGGCAGGAAAGAAACGUCAUGGGUUAAUACCCCGUGAAACUGACGGUACCUGCAGAAUAAGCACCGGCUAACUACGUGCCAGCAGCCGCGGUAAUACGUAGGGUGCAAGCGUUAAUCGGAAUUACUGGGCGUAAAGCGUGCGCAGGCGGUUCGGACAGAACGAUGUGAAAUCCCAGAGCUCAACUUUGGAACUGCAUUUUUAACUAGCUGGCGAGAGUGUGUCAGAGGGAGGAGGAAUUCCGCGUGUAGCAGUGAAAUGCGUAGAUAUGCGGAGGAACACGGAGGGCGAAGGCAGCCACCUGGGAAAACACUGACGCUCAUGCAAGAAAGCGUGGGGAGCAAACAGG
This 429-nucleotide ribosomal RNA is filed under the name Acidobacteriota bacterium. RNAcentral describes it as "Acidobacteria bacterium partial 16S ribosomal RNA". It matches the Rfam family "Bacterial small subunit ribosomal RNA", at positions 355 to 776 of the family's 1533-position model. Lineage: Bacteria; Pseudomonadati; Acidobacteriota. The record is from RNAcentral.